This 389-nucleotide ribosomal RNA is filed under the name Escherichia coli. RNAcentral describes it as "partial 23S ribosomal RNA". It matches the Rfam family "Bacterial large subunit ribosomal RNA", at positions 2349 to 2737 of the family's 2925-position model. The record is from RNAcentral. Lineage: Bacteria; Pseudomonadati; Pseudomonadota; Gammaproteobacteria; Enterobacterales; Enterobacteriaceae.
GUGCAAUGGCAUAAGCCAGCUUGACUGCGAGCGUGACGGCGCGAGCAGGUGCGAAAGCAGGUCAUAGUGAUCCGGUGGUUCUGAAUGGAAGGGCCAUCGCUCAACGGAUAAAAGGUACUCCGGGGAUAACAGGCUGAUACCGCCCAAGAGUUCAUAUCGACGGCGGUGUUUGGCACCUCGAUGUCGGCUCAUCACAUCCUGGGGCUGAAGUAGGUCCCAAGGGUAUGGCUGUUCGCCAUUUAAAGUGGUACGCGAGCUGGGUUUAGAACGUCGUGAGACAGUUCGGUCCCUAUCUGCCGUGGGCGCUGGAGAACUGAGGGGGGCUGCUCCUAGUACGAGAGGACCGGAGUGGACGCAUCACUGGUGUUCGGGUUGUCAUGCCAAUGGCA